GGGGGGGGGGGGGGGACACACACUUUACUUAAGUUUUGAAGUGUCUCUCGCGCAAACUAUUCAGUUUAGAAAAAAAUGAUAUUAGAAACCUCAAUAUCAUUUUUGAAGACCUAUCCAUAGAUACCCCACACGUAUGGGUUUAAUGAAAAAAAAAUUUUUUUCUAAGUAUGAGGAC
Molecule: long non-coding RNA, 175 nt
Organism: Cydia strobilella
Lineage: Eukaryota; Metazoa; Arthropoda; Insecta; Lepidoptera; Tortricidae
Exons: 2
Source: RefSeq, a predicted model, not a curated record